GACGAACGCUGGCGGCGUGCUUAACACAUGCAAGUCGAACGCUGAAGGCUCAGCUUGCUGGGCUGGAUGAGUGGCGAACGGGUGAGUAACACGUGAGUAACCUGCCCUCUUCUUUGGGAUAACGGUCGGAAACGGCUGCUAAUACCGGGUAUUCACUGUCCUUCGCAUGGGGGGUGGUGGAAAGGUUUUUUCUGGUGGGGGAUGGGCUCGCGGCCUAUCAGCUUGUUGGUGGGGUGAUGGCUUACCAAGGCUUUGACGGGUAACCGGCCUGAGAGGGUGACCGGUCACAUUGGGACUGAGAUACGGCCCAGACUCCUACGGGAGGCAGCAGUGGGGAAUAUUGCACAAUGGGCGAAAGCCUGAUGCAGCGACGCCGCGUGAGGGAUGAAGGCCUUCGGGUUGUAAACCUCUUUCGCUCAUGGUCAAGCCGCAACUCAAGGUUGUGGUGAGGGUAGUGGGUAAAGAAGCACCGGCUAACUACGUGCCAGCAGCCGCGGUAAUACGUAGGGUGCGAGCGUUGUCCGGAAUUAUUGGGCGUAAGGGCUUGUAGGCGGUUUGUCGCGUCUGCCGUGAAAUCCUCUGGCUUAACUGGGGGCGUGCGGUGGGUACGGGCAGACUUGAGUGCGGUAGGGGAGACUGGAACUCCUGGUGUAGCGGUGGAAUGCGCAGAUAUCAGGAAGAACACCGGUGGCGAAGGCGGGUCUCUGGGCCGUUACUGACGCUGAGGAGCGAAAGCGUGGGGAGCGAACAGG
RNAcentral lists this ribosomal RNA (752 nucleotides) under uncultured Actinomyces sp. Its description in RNAcentral is "bacterial SSU rRNA". It matches the Rfam family "Bacterial small subunit ribosomal RNA", at positions 28 to 776 of the family's 1533-position model. Lineage: Bacteria; Bacillati; Actinomycetota; Actinomycetes; Actinomycetales; Actinomycetaceae. The record is from RNAcentral.